This 4139-nucleotide unclassified non-coding RNA is filed under the name Sitophilus oryzae (rice weevil). RNAcentral describes it as "polycystin-2-like, transcript variant X2". The record is from RNAcentral. Lineage: Eukaryota; Metazoa; Arthropoda; Insecta; Coleoptera; Curculionidae.
UAUUACAAUAAAUAAUUACGAAAAUACCUGAUAUUUAGACAGCUGUCUUGAUCAAAGCAGAGAUCUUGCAGAGAUCUUGGUAUAUUCUUUGGCAGAGAUCAAAUCAUAGGAUCAAAUCAAGGAUCAAAUCAAUCAAAUCUGAUCAAAUCCUUACAUGUUGAAGAGAUGUCGAACUUAAAAGCUAUAGACCAAGGUGAAAAUGACGAAGACAUCGAGAUAUAUAAAAAGAAUAAACCAUUUUGGAUUACAACUGCGAUUGCUGCUGAGAUUGGACGAGAAGAAUUGUUGGGUGCAACAUUUAGAGAUAUUGUAUUACAUAUAAUUUCUUUGUUGUUUUUGAGCAUAUAUAUAUUUAGUCAGAUCAGUGUAUCCGAAUAUUAUAUAACAACAGCGUUAAAAAAUAGUUUUGAUAUUGAUGAAGACGGAGAUUUUUUUAAGAUAAUAUCAGCUGAGAAGUUUUGGGAGUUUUUAGAGGAACCAUUAACUGACGCGCUUUACAAAACCCGCGAUAGCAGUAUAACAGAUACGGAGUCUAUGUAUAUGCUAAAUGAAAAUAGAGUUUUGGGGGUACCACGAAUGAGACAAGUUAAAGUGAAAUCAAAUUCCUGUCAGAUUCAUGGCUAUUUUCGAAGACUAUUCGUUUCUUGUUACAGUUUGUUUUCUAACAUAGGUGAAGAUCGAGAGUCCUUUGGACUUAAGAGCGGCACUGCAUGGGUUUACAGCGAUGCGGACAAAACAGAGAGUUUGAGUUACAGCGGAACAUUGUCAACUUAUACUGGUGGUGGAUUUUAUGUGGACUUUUCCACUGACAAAAAUGAUACCGAGGAUUUAAUAGGAGAUCUAAAGGAAAAUUUGUGGGUUACACGUGGUACGCGCGCUGUGUUUAUCGACUUCAGUAUUUACAACUCAAAUUUGAACUUAUUCUGCAUUUGCAAGUUAGUGUUUGAAUUUUUGCCUUCGGGAGAUGUUAAGCCCAACUUUAAAUUUAGCCCAGCUACCUUGCUCGAGUUUCAGGACUGGAGAUUUUGGACUCUCAGGUUUCUGCUCUAUUUGUUCGGAAUUUAUAUCAUAUUUUGCUUGUUCGAAGAGUUUAGGGAAAUAAUCUAUUUCGGAUGGAACUAUCUGGCACAGUUCUGGACUUACAUCGAUCUAUCCGUCAUUGUGCUAGCAUUUAUGAUGAUAUUUGGUACAGAAUAUAUGAGAAUAAUUGUACCCAGCUAUUUGGAGAAGAUAAAAAAUAAACCAACCGCAUACGGCAAUUUAGAAUAUCCGGAAGUUGCCUAUAGCACAUUUAAAGUUAUUGGCGCUUUGCUGUUAUUUUUUGUGUACAUCCGAACCUUCAAAUAUUUAAAUUUUAACAAGAGAAUGGCUCAGCUUAAUGACACAAUUAAACAGUGUUCUAAAGAUAUAAUGGGAUUUUCCGUGAUGUUUUUUGUGGCCUAUUUCGCUUAUGCAGAAUUGGGCUACCUAGUUUUUGGAAGUGAGGUCAAAUCAUAUAGUACUUUCGGAUUUUCUAUGUUCACUUUGCUGCGCACCAUCUUGGGUGACUUUGAUUUUGAAGAAAUUCACAAAGCGAAUUGGAUUGUAGCCCCAAUAUACUUUUUAUCAUUUAUUAUUCUGGUAUUUUUUGUAUUGCUGAAUAUGUUUCUUGCUAUUAUCAACGACACCUACUCCGAUGUGAAAACGGACAUAGCAAUUGCACCUAAGGAGAUGGAACUAAUUGACUAUUUAGAGCAAGGAUUCAAAAGGAUUUUAUUGAAACUGGGAUGCAGAGUACGAACAAGUCAACCUGAAAGAGAACCACAGCAUAAUACAAACAUUAACAAAAUUCGCGAUGCUUUAGUUAAUUAUAUUGUGAGCUGAACUCCUUCGCUUUUUUCACGAUGGUAAUGUUAGUUGUUUUAAAAGCUGCUCUCCCCACUCACAUAGAAAUUAAGGGCCUCCAGAAUGCAAAUUUGAGGAACGAGAGAUUCAGAUGUAUUUUACGCGCUAUGAAAUUGACCCGUUAAAAGAAUUAAAGAAGAAGGAUAUCGAUAGUUUUUUCGAAAAACUUGCUCUCGAAGAUGAAGCCAAGAAAGCAGAACAACAGAGGGUUGUAAAGUGGCAAGAUUUUCAAAGACAAGAUGCUAAAUUAAUUGAAUUGGAACGUAGUCUGGCAACGUUAGGUCAACGAGUUCAAGAAUUGUUGACCACAAUAGAAAAUAUCCAAGGAGCUAAAAAGAAAACCUAAUCACGAAAGAAAAACGCACGUUUUCUUGACAUAAUUGCUUUAUUAUAUAUAAUAUUUACUAUAAACAAAAUAUUUACAGUACUUUACACAGCAUAAUGCAGAUAUAUAUGUUCAGUCAAUACUUAAAAAAAGGAAAACACUUAUAUAUUUACUUAAAAUUAUUGAUAUAAACAAGGAUAGAAUGAAAAUAAUUAGCUACACUUGUGAUGAGCAUUCUAAUAUAUCACAAAUGACGUGUGGCAUUUGUUUAAGACACAUAAAUUCAGUAAUAUUAAACACAAUUUUCCUGUUUGGAUGAGUAUGAAAAUACUAUACGAUCGAAAAAACGGCGUCAGUUGGUCUGGAAAUAAAGAUCGUCGUCAUUUCAUAUGUAAAAUUAUGUGGCGAAUGUCAACAAUCCGCCUUUUUCAAGCCAAACUGAUGCCGUUUUUUUCGAUCAUACGGUAUAAGUAUGUUAUUUAUUUUAGUCUAAUAUGAUAAACAGGAAUAAACAUUCAUUUUGGUGCAUCUACCUUUCCCUUUAUAAAAAUUACAAGGGAUUGAUUAUGAAUUAUAAUUGACAUGAAAAUUAUAAAAUUUGUGAUUGUUUUAAUAUCAAAGUAUCACAUAGGUAAGUUAUUUGUGUUACAAAAUGAUUUAAAUUUGAUAUAAGUAUUUUGUGGCUGUGGAUGAUUUUCAAUUAUUGUUGUUAGGCGAACUUUUAGGAACAUUUACAAUUGCCACAAACAAUGAUUUAUUUUUCUAUUAUACUCCUAUCACAGACCUAAUCAGCAAAAUUAACAUUUUCUAUAUAUUUUAAAAGUUAUAAAAUAAAUAAAUACAUCACUUACUUAUUAAAACUUAGUAUUAUACAAAACAAAGUAGAAAAUGAUACAGAAUAUAAAACAAAUUGCUAUGUACAUUUUUAUAAUGCUGGGUAACUUGUUUAAAUCAAAAAAAAUAUAGGUUUCGCAAUACAUACAGGGUGAUUCUGUAUUCCAAGUUAGAGAAAUCAUCCUGUAUAUAUUUAAAAGCAAAUACAAGGAGGCCCUCUUCAACUACAAUUAUUUUUUUUUACUGGAAUGCUUCAUAUAUUUUUAAACAUUUAGGGAUUCAAUAAAGACACGUGCAUUAUCUAUAUUAAGAGAGCUUGUAAAAAAAACGAAAACUUUUAUACUAUCCCUAGAAGUUUCAAAACCCUGUUAUAUAUUUUUAAAGCUGAUUUACAUUGGUAUUUGCAUAUUUUCUAAACUACGAUAAAACUAUGAAUUAAUAAUUAAAUUCAUAAUCUAAUUCUACAAUCAUUAAGACAAAUAAAAAAUAUAAAAACAGAUGAAAGUCUUUGAUGUUCAUGCCGUUAGAAAAUUUACUCUAAACUAUUAUAAAUACUGUAAAAAAAUUGUAUAUCGAUAUUCUUAAAUAGAUGACAUAGUGUAUAUUCAUUUUUUUUGUUUUUUUUUAAAUGCAUUUACGCGAGUAAUUUAGGUAUAAAAAAAUCUUGAAUAGUAAAAUAAGAUUGGCCUUUAUAUUACAAUUAUCUAGACAUUUGAAUAUUUGUUCUACAGAAUGUUUAUAAGGAACUAUAAACAAUUUUAGUCUAAAAUAAUGAAUCCUACAAAAAUUUAAAAUAGUCAUAUAUGUAUCUACCUAACAUGAGAGAAGCACAAAGUAAAUUAAAAUGUAAGAUUGUUGUGUUCUAAAAAGACUGAUAUCGUCAGAUUCAUUAUUACAAAACACUAAAUUCAUAUACUAAAAAAGACAUUAAGAACUGAUUACAUUAAUUUAUUUUUUUAAUUUAAGUAGACAAUCAUUUUUUUUUGUUUUUUUUUAAUAUUUUUAAGUAGAAAAAAUACAUUGAUGAUUUUAAGGGACAUAUAAUUUAAAAUAAAAUGAGAGAGGCUUUUCUAAGAAUAUGCUUUAAAGUAAAAAA